RNAcentral lists this ribosomal RNA (318 nucleotides) under uncultured bacterium. RNAcentral describes it as "bacterial SSU rRNA". It matches the Rfam family "Bacterial small subunit ribosomal RNA", at positions 29 to 341 of the family's 1533-position model. The record is from RNAcentral.
AGUGAACGCUGGCGGCAGGCCUAAUACAUGCAAGUCGAACGGCAGCACAGUGGAGCUUGCUCCAUGGGUGGCGAGUGGCGGACGGGUGAGGAAUACAUGGGAAUCUGCCCAGUCGUGGGGGAUAACGUAUGGAAACGUACGCUAAUACCGCAUGCGCCCUUCGGGGGAAAGUCGGGGACCGCAAGGCCUGACGCGAUUGGAUGAGCCCAUGUUCGAUUAGCUAGUUGGCGGGGUAACGGCCCACCGAGGCGACGAUCGAUAGCUGGUCUGAGAGGAUGAUCAGCCACACUGGAACUGAGACACGGUCCAGGACUCCUA